Non-coding RNA from Ataeniobius toweri, 93 nucleotides. NCBI's taxonomy places the organism in Eukaryota, Metazoa, Chordata, Actinopteri, Cyprinodontiformes, Goodeidae. The record is from the annotation of a GenBank genome assembly.
UGCUGGGUGGCUCAGUUGGUAGAGCAGGUGCACCAGAUGCAGAGGCUAUAGUCCUCAUUACGGGUGUCCUGGGUUCGAUUCCUUGUCAGGCCA